AUUGAACGCUGGCGGCAUGCCUUACACAUGCAAGUCGAGCGCGAAAGGGGGCAACCCCGAGUAGAGCGGCGGACGGGUGAGUAACACAUCGGAACGUGCCCAGUAGUGGGGGACAACCUCGAGAAAUCGAGGCUAAUACCGCAUACGACCCACGGGUGAAAGCGGGGGACCGCAAGGCCUCGCGCUAUUGGAGCGGCCGAUGUCCGAUUAGCUAGUUGGCGGGGUAAGAGCCCACCAAGGCGACGAUCGGUAGCUGGUCUGAGAGGACGACCAGCCACACUGGGACUGAGACACGGCCCAGACUCCUACGGGAGGCAGCAGUGGGGAAUUUUGGACAAUGGGGGCAACCCUGAUCCAGCCAUGCCGCGUGCGGGAAGAAGGCCUUCGGUU
RNAcentral lists this ribosomal RNA (390 nucleotides) under uncultured bacterium. RNAcentral describes it as "bacterial SSU rRNA". It matches the Rfam family "Bacterial small subunit ribosomal RNA", at positions 29 to 423 of the family's 1533-position model. The record is from RNAcentral.